Molecule: ribosomal RNA, 253 nt
Filed under: uncultured bacterium
Lineage: Bacteria
Description: partial 16S ribosomal RNA
Rfam family: Bacterial small subunit ribosomal RNA
Source: RNAcentral
UACGUAGGGUGCAAGCGUUGUCCGGAAUUAUUGGGCGUAAAGAGCUCGUAGGCGGUUCGUCGCGUCGGCUGUGAAAACCUGAGGCUCAACCUCAGGCCUGCAGUCGAUACGGGCGACUGAGUACGUCGCAGGGGAGACUGGAAUUCCUGGUGUAGCGGUGAAAUGCGCAGAUAUCGGGAGGAACACCAGUGGCGAAGGCGGCACUCUGGGCCGUGACUGACGCUGAGGAGCGAAAGCGUGGGUAGCAAACAGG